AUUGAACGCUGGCGGCAGGCCUACCAAAUGCAAGUCGAACGAGUGGCGGACGGGUGAGUAAUGUCUGGGAAACUGCCUGAUGGAGGGGGAUAACUACUGGAAACGGUAGCUAAUACCGCAUACCAUCAGAUGGGCCAAGAUGGGAGUCGCUAGUGGGUGGGGUAACGGCUCACCAAGGCGACGAUCCCUAGCUGUUCUGAGAGGAUGACCAGCCACCCUGGAAUGGAGACACGGUCCAGACUCCUACGGGAGGCAGCAGUGGGAAAUAUUGCACAAUGGGCGUGAGCCUUAUGCAGCCAUGCCGCGUGUAUGAAGAAGGCCUUCGGGUUGUAAAGUACUUUCAGCGGGGAGGCGUUACCCGCAGAAGAAGCACCGGCUAACUCCGUGCCAGCAGCCGCGGUAAUAC
This 406-nucleotide ribosomal RNA is filed under the name uncultured bacterium. RNAcentral's name for it is "partial 16S ribosomal RNA". It matches the Rfam family "Bacterial small subunit ribosomal RNA", at positions 30 to 526 of the family's 1533-position model. The record is from RNAcentral.